UGGCCGCUGGGUGGGGGUUCUCUCCACAGCAUCCCCAGUUUCCUGCAGGCCUGGAGGUGACAGACGAGGUACUGGAGAAGGCAGCUGGGACUGAUGUCAACAACAUCUUCCAGCUCACUGUGGAGAUGUUUGAUUACAUGGAUUGUGAGCUGAAGCUUUCUGAAUCAGUUUUCCGACAGCUCAACACGGCCAUCGCCGUAUCCCAGAUGUCCUCAGGCCAGUGCCGCCUGGCCCCGCUCAUCCAGGUCAUCCAGGACUGCAGCCACCUCUACCACUACACGGUCAAGCUCCUGUUCAAGCUACACUCUUGUCUCCCUGCGGACACCCUGCAAGGCCACAGGGACCGGUUCCACGAGCAGUUUCACAGCCUCAGGAACUUCUUCCGCAGAGCCUCUGACAUGCUGUAUUUCAAGCGGCUCAUCCAGAUCCCCCGGCUGCCCGAGGGACCCCCUAACUUCCUGCGGGCCUCAGCCCUGGCUGAGCACAUCAAGCCGGUGGUGGUGAUCCCCGAGGAGGCCCCGGAGGACGAGGAACCGGA
Molecule: small RNA, 538 nt
Filed under: Pongo abelii (Sumatran orangutan)
Lineage: Eukaryota; Metazoa; Chordata; Mammalia; Primates; Hominidae
Description: retained intron
Source: RNAcentral